UACGUAGGGUGCGAGCGUUGUCCGGAAUUACUGGGCGUAAAGAGCUCGUAGGUGGUUUGUCGCGUUGUCCGUGAAAUUCCCUGGCUUAACUGGGGGGCGUGCGGGGCGAUACGGGGUAGACUGGAGUACUGCAGGGGAGACUGGAAUUCCUGGUGUAGCGGUGGAAUGCGCAGAUAUCAGGAGGAACACCCGGUGGCGAAGGCGGGGUCUCUGGGGCAGUAACUGACGCUGGAG
This 234-nucleotide ribosomal RNA is filed under the name uncultured bacterium. RNAcentral describes it as "partial 16S ribosomal RNA". It matches the Rfam family "Bacterial small subunit ribosomal RNA", at positions 524 to 751 of the family's 1533-position model. The record is from RNAcentral.